Molecule: ribosomal RNA, 468 nt
Filed under: uncultured bacterium
Lineage: Bacteria
Description: partial 16S ribosomal RNA
Rfam family: Bacterial small subunit ribosomal RNA
Source: RNAcentral
GACGAACGCUGGCGGCGUGCUUAACACAUGCAAGUCGAGCGGAAAGGCCCUGCUUUUGUGGGGUGCUCGAGUGGCGAACGGGUGAGUAACACGUGAGUAACCUGCCCUUGACUUUGGGAUAACUUCAGGAAACUGGGGCUAAUACCGGAUAGGAGCUCCUGCUGCAUGGUGGGGGUUGGAAAGUUUCGGCGGUUGGGGAUGGACUCGCGGCUUAUCAGCUUGUUGGUGGGGUAGUGGCUUACCAAGGCUUUGACGGGUAGCCGGCCUGAGAGGGUGACCGGCCACAUUGGGACUGAGAUACGGCCCAGAUUCCUACGGGAGGCAGCAGUGGGGAAUAUUGCACAAUGGGCGGAAGCCUGAUGCAGCAACGCCGCGUGCGGGAUGACGGCCUUCGGGUUGUAAACCGCUUUCGCCUGUGACGAAGCGUGAGUGACGGUAAUGGGUAAAGAAGCACCGGCUAACUACGUG